RNAcentral lists this transfer RNA (72 nucleotides) under Apaloderma vittatum (bar-tailed trogon). It matches the Rfam family "tRNA". Rfam says of the family: Transfer RNA (tRNA) molecules are approximately 80 nucleotides in length. Their secondary structure includes four short double-helical elements and three loops (D, anti-codon, and T loops). Further hydrogen bonds mediate the characteristic L-shaped molecular structure. tRNAs have two regions of fundamental functional importance: the anti-codon, which is responsible for specific mRNA codon recognition, and the 3' end, to which the tRNAs corresponding amino acid is attached (by aminoacyl-tRNA synthetases). tRNAs cope with the degeneracy of the genetic code in two manners: having more than one tRNA (with a specific anti-codon) for a particular amino acid; and 'wobble' base-pairing, i.e. permitting non-standard base-pairing at the 3rd anti-codon position. The record is from Rfam by way of RNAcentral. Lineage: Eukaryota; Metazoa; Chordata; Aves; Trogoniformes; Trogonidae.
GGCUGGUUAGCUCAGUCAGUUGAGAGCGGCGCUGACAACGCCAAGGUCGCGGGUUCGAUUCCUGUUCGGUCC